RNAcentral lists this transfer RNA (73 nucleotides) under Candidatus Iainarchaeum sp. Its description in RNAcentral is "tRNA-Gln". It matches the Rfam family "tRNA". From Rfam's summary of the family: Transfer RNA (tRNA) molecules are approximately 80 nucleotides in length. The record is from RNAcentral. Lineage: Archaea; Nanobdellati; Candidatus Iainarchaeota; Candidatus Iainarchaeia; Candidatus Iainarchaeales; Candidatus Iainarchaeaceae.
AGCCCCGUAGUCUAGUGGCCAAGGAUGCCGGGUUCUGGACCCGGUGACAGGAGUUCGAAUCUCCUCGGGGCUA